Camellia sinensis is the source of this 1619-nucleotide non-coding RNA. NCBI's taxonomy places the organism in Eukaryota, Viridiplantae, Streptophyta, Magnoliopsida, Ericales, Theaceae. The record is from RefSeq and is a predicted model, not a curated record.
AGUCCUCCUAGGAAUCACGUUCCUGAAAGAUAAUGCUUAUCCUUCAAUACCCUCCUCACUGCUUAAACCAAGUGAGAUGGUUUUAUCUCGGCGGUAUGACAAAACGACCGAGCUAUAUCAGCCAUGCUAAACUGGCUGAAAUGACCGAGCUUUAUUUAGCUCGGUCCUCCCCUCCACUGUACGUAUAUUGGCUUCUCUGGCUGAGACCGUGCUGACCAUACUGAGCCUAGACCGAGCUAACCCGUAGCAAGGUCCUGAGAAAAGCUCAGCAUACCUUGGUUCAGAAGGGUAUGAUCGAGCUAACUGUUACCGCUCUGAGUAUGGUGACCGAGCUAACUGCAGAGCUCUCUGGGACCGGGCUAACUGCAGAGUUCUUUUGGACCAAGCUACCUUCUAGGCCUUUUUACUCGGCCUCUCUUACAAUGACCCACAGAUCGGCCCAUUUACCCAGCUCGGCCCAAUUUACUUAUAAAUUACCCUUUCACUACUGAAUUUGCUUCAAACUAUGGAAGAUUUUGAAAUGUUUGAGGAAUCACAAAUGUCAGAGCACAACACUGAUAUUAAUUUUAUUUCGAAAAUUUCACGAGAGCAGAACAUUGAUAUUCAUUUUACUUCUAAAACUUCCCGUGUUUCUUGUGGUAAAGCGUUCACAAUUAUAGAAGAUGAAACAUUAUGUAGAUCUUGGUUGGUAGUCUUUCAAGAUCCCAUUACUGGUAAUAGUCAGACCAUGGCUAUAUUUUGGGAAUGAGUACUUGUUUAUUUUAAUUCACAAUUGAGCAGUAAAUCAAAUCGAAAUCGUAUUUCUUUGUCUCACCGUUGGUCUAGCAUGCAAAAGGCAAUUAAUAAAUUUUGUGGUUUUCUUGAGCAAAUUCAAUUGAGGCAACAAAGUGGAACAACUGAGACAGACAUGGUCGUUGAAGCGAAGCGGAUGUAUCAUGCAAUAUAGAAAAAACACUUCACAUUUGAUACAUGUUGAGAUAUUUUGCGUCGAAGUUGUAAGUGGGAUGAAUUUAGAAUACAAUCCAAAAAAACCACGCAACAUGCUUAUCCAUGUUCGAAUCCACCAACUGAAGAUGAGGCUUUUCAACCUAACUAGAAUAUUGCGGUGCACCAACAACCAACUAAUACAUCAACACGACAAAUUAGUACUAAGGCAACGAAAGAGAAAUUGAAGAAUAAAAAAACUCACGAUAGUAGAUUUGACGAAAUGACUGCCAACCAAUCCAAAAUUGUUGAAGUGUUAUCAAUUAUCUCCGCUAGAACUGUUGAGCGAGAUGAACAAAAGGCGAUAGACCGUGAACAGAAGGCUGCAGAGCGUCAAAGAAGGGCCGAGGAUAGGGAGGAACAACUAAAACUCCUAUCUAUGAUGAAUGAAAGAGAACAACAAAAUGAAGAUCAUAAAAUAAUGUCAAUGGACAUGACAAAUUUAAAUCCUAUGCAAAUGGCGUACUACGAAGAUCUUCAGCGACAAAUCUUAUUUCGAACAACUAAUAGAUUGCCUUGAUGGUUUCUGUAUUAGUGGGUAGUAUUGGUUUUAUUAUUUAAAAACAUUGAUAGUGGGUUGUAUUGGAAUUAUAGUAUUCAUUGUUUUUUUAUAACAUAUAAUUGUAUUGAUUUGA